UUUCAGUCAUAAAACGCGCGUCAACCAAUUCGGUUAAAUUAGAAGUUUAUGCGAGUUUGUUAGUUUUUUGUGCUGUGUAUGUUUAAAUAUACUUUUGUGUGUGGGUGAAUCAAUGUUUGGCAUUUGAAUUGCAAUGCAAAAUGUGAAAGAUGAGUAAAAAAGUAAACAAAAUCGAAAAUUGUAAACAAAUGUGCUAAAGCCAAUCGAGUUUCCAGCUACAAUUGAAAUAAAUUGUGGUUCGCUCUGUGUUCUUAGCAAUAAAUAUUGAGAAUAUUUACGUCUGCAAAAUUUGUGCUGAAUAGAAUUCUUUACGUCUCUAUAUAUAUUGGAAUAAUAUUUUGCAUUUAUUUUGGAAAUCACGAAAAGCGCAAAUUCUAUAAUUGCGCUGUGCAAAGCAAUUGUGUUUUGUGUAUAACAACGGAAAAGCCGCCUUACGCGUGUGUGUGUGAAAUAACUAUGUAUGUAGUGCAGCUAGUGGGUGGCUUGCUUUUUCCAGGCUGGUACAUUGUCCUUCAACAAUUUCGUCAAAUGUCAAGCCAUAUGAACAGCGCAUAGUAUAGAUAUCAAUAAAUAAUCUUGAAAAGAGUUUACUAAACUAAAAGUAAGCGUUUAUUUGAAAGUGAUGGGUUUGCCGGUGUGGCUCCCACAGGAAUACCAGUGAGAUUACUCAUCGCGUUCGAUAAAAUAAAAGCAACAAAAAAGUGACCGGGGUUCAUACUCACAGUAGACCCCUUACGAGUGUCAGAAAAUGUCUAUACAAACACACGUGCUUCGAUAUUCAUAUACAUAUACACAUAUGCGCAAAAUAAAUGAAAGGAAGUAGUGGCGCUAUAUAAAAAUAGAUUUGUAUUCGCAAUUUUAAUGCUACUGAAAUAAAAAUAAAAGUGAAAAGCUACGUCAUACUCUACGUUGUAUACGUAUCCCUGCAUUUGACAACGCAAAAACAACAUACGAAAAGUCACCAACUCGUUGGAGGCCGUGCUGACAUUCGGCGCAUAUUCGUACAUAUCUGCAUAAACGACCGUGUGUUUGCGCCAGUGUUUGCCAUCAUCUGUGUUCUUCCUUUCAACUUAUAUUUCAUCUGCCAAGAACUUGAGUUUUUUCCAUGUAUUUUCAUUUUGUUUUUGUGUAACUUGUUUUUAUAAGAAUUUAUAAACUGGUAUAAAUUCUUGCUGGAUUGUGUUCUUCUACGAGUUAUUUCAAACUUGGCCUUCGCUUUUGAUUUGUGGCCAAGAUGAGCGAACGCAAAUUCUCACGCGUCCUAAACAGCAACAAAGCCGGUAUGGCAGCACAGCUGCGCGACUCCGUCUCGCAGGUGGUGCGGCAGAGCACAGCGCUGAUGCAAUAUCCUGCACCGGACAGCCGCAAUGUGAACAAAUCUCACGUGGUGGAGCCCAUCGAUUUUGAGGGCUUUGUGGCGAAAAACAAAAUGCUUAUACAAAAUGAUCCACAGCGAGAACUCUUGAUAUAUCCCAAUGACGAUGUGUCGGAAAUCGUUAUGCCUCGCAAACAGCGCACAAAUACCAAAUCAAUUAUCGACCGUUUCGAACCGCCGAACGAAGCUAUCAUUUGCCCAUUACACGGCGGCACAAAUGGCAGCUCUAACGGCUCAAGUAGUGCUUCCAUUUCACGCCAGAGUAGUCAUACAAAUAGUCCCAAGGCAACACAACGCCAAAUUAGCAGUCAAUCCAAUGCAAAUGUACAAAACGGUAAUCUCUCGAGAAAAAGCUCGCAGAGCUCAUCUACAAAAAUACAGCUAUCCAUCAAAUCACCAACUUCCUCACACGAAUCCUAUGAGUCUGCGCUAUCGACUGCCUGCUCGGCUGGUGGCAAUCUGACUUCCAACUCGCAUUCAUCCUCAUCGUCAACAUUGAAGUCGAAUAUACUCGCACAACCCGAAGAAGAUGAGGAUUUGGACGGCUCGGAUGGUGCGGACGGCAUGAGUAGCAAUGACAGUGGUGGCGGUACACGCGCCGAAUGUACGCGCUUCACACGUCAAGCGUUGUAUACAUAUCGUGCCAAGAAUCAUCUCAUACAUUACAAGUAUAGCGCUUACGGUGGCACUUGCCAUGACUUGCCAAAAAUAAAUCCACCCGAGGCUUUGAUAGAGGAAGUGUAUGAGAUUGAUGCCGAUCAGGAUCGUAUUGACGAGCAAAUGACACGAUCUCAAGCUGAUUCGAUAACCAAGCAGGGUUACUUGCUAAAGGGUCCCGACUCGGGUUCGGAUCGCAUGUUUGUCAAUAUUGGCAAUAAAUCCUUUAAAAGAAGGUAUUGCUAUCUGCGCCAGGAAGUGGACGGCACCUACAUACUCGAAUUACACAAAGAUGAGAAGCAAGGUGAGGCUAAGGCAACCAUAGUCAUGGACUUUUGCACGGAAGUGGUGCAGAACCCCAAACGCGGACGCUUUUGCUUCGAACUACGCAUGACCGCUGGUCAUAAGUCCUUUACGCUCGCUGCCGAAAACGAAGAAGAAUUCAAGGAUUGGUUAAGCAAGCUCUCGCUGGUGUUGCAACAAAACAAAAUUCAAGAGGAUAAACGUGUUGCAUCAUUGGAGCGCGCGCCGCAACCAAGCACCAGCACAGUCAUCUUCGGCACACUAAAAGGCCUCGAUCAGUCCAUGAACCCGCAAUUGAUAAAGUACGGACGUGAAACAGACAUUUCAAUUGCGCAGGCGCGACGCGAACAUCGCCGACGUCUCUUCGCUUGCUACCAAACGACGGGUAAAGCAACAAGCACCGACAGCGUCGAUCAGUUUCGUGAGCAAUUCGGCAAACGCAUUUUUAUUGCCUGUAAGGGCUUACGUUUUCGCUUGCAGUGCGCUGGCACAGACGGACUCGAUGGCGAGAAUUUAUGCCAAGUGGAACCAUACAUCACCAGCUUGGCAUUGUAUGAUGCACGUAACGCACGUAAAUUAACCGAAUCGUUUUACUUUAAUGUAAACGAUGAUAGUGUGAGCGAUAUGCUGCCCACGACGCCAGUGCCAAAUUCCGUCUCGGCUUGUUGUGUGCCACAGCGACGCGCCGAUGAGAAGGAUGAGCGCGCGCGCAGCAAUGGCGUACGCGUACAAAACUCGUUGCUGGAGAAUCUCUCCGGAGAUUUGCUGCGUUGCGGCAAAGAACACUUCGCGCACUUGCGUCAGGCGGUAUUCUCAGUGACAGCGCCACAUCCAGAUAUCUACUUGGUGUUGAAGGUGGAGAAAAUACUGCAAGGUAGCAUAGUGCAAGCGGCCGAGCCGUACUUGAAGACUGGACGCGAUCCGAAGAUCGCAUUAAAAUUACACAAAACAGCGCGUAAUUAUGCGCAAAACAUAGGACACUAUCGGCAACCAUUCGCAUGGGCGGCCAAACCGCUCUUUCGACUCUACCGUAACGAAUUGGAUACGGAGAAUAAUACAUUCGAAUUGACGACCAUCUACCGACAGGAGGCGAAUAAAUUGAAAGAUGAGGAGCUGUUGAAAUUGCUGGCGGAAUACCGAAAGCCCGAUAAACUGAGCAAACUCACAGUUAUACCGGGCUAUAUGAAGCUAACCAUUGAGGAGGUGGAGAAGGUGUCAGGUUCCUUUACUAAGUCUUUAGUGCCGCUAGCUAACUUCACAUUUCCACCCAAACCGCCCACGCUCGAGCUGACCGAAUUCCAAAGCAAUUGCAAGCGCGACACCUAUCCCUACAUAACAUUCUGCAAUCACUUAUUUGUCUAUCCGCAGUACUUGCAAUUCGAUAGUCAAAAGUUAUUUUCGCGCGCACGCAACAUUACCGUGGUGGUGGAGUUGCGCGACUCGGAUGAGGAGGGUAGCAAGCCACUGAAGUGCAUUUACGGUCGCCCUGGUCAUGAUUUCCUAGUCUCGCAAAUCGCUUGCCCCGUGCUGCAUCAUCACACCACACCCACUUGGUAUGAGGAGGUGAAAAUGCGUCUGCCAUUGGGGCUCUUUCCCGAACAUCACUUGCUCUUCUCCUUCUACCAUGUGUCGUGUAAUUUGGGCAAGAAGCGUGAUGCCAAUGCUGCGUUCGAAACACCCAUCGGUUAUGCUUGGUUGCCGCUGUUGCAAAAGGGUCGCAUCAAUCUCGAAGAGCAAGCCAUCGCUGUGUCGGCGUCUCUACCGGCGGGCUAUUUGUCGAUACAGCCACUGGGCCUGGGCAAAGGGCAGAAUUGUGGUCCUGAAAUACAAUGGAUCGACAAUCAGCGCUUACUGUUCGGCGUCGCCUUCCGCAUGGACUCAACCGUACUGACCGCCGAUCAGCAUUUGCAUAACUUUUUCGCACACUGCGAAAGACUGUUGGAGGGCGGCAAAACCACAGCGCUACCCGCAGAAUCGGAGACCUGUAAAAUACUCAAAGCGGCGCAUGCAGUCGAUAUCAGCACGCUGAUUAAUUUCUUGCCGACCGUAUUGAAUGAACUGUUCACACUACUCGUGCACACACAGUCGGAGGAGAUCGGCUUGAAUAUCAUACGCCUACUGAUCAACAUCAUACACAUGCUCAUCGAUGAGGCCGGUCGCAAAGAACUACUCAGCGCCUACGUUAAGUAUGUGUUUCAUGCGCCCUACUACAGCCAGAAAACGUCGCGUACGGUGCACGGUGAGCUGUGCAAAUAUCUGCCGACCAUUUUGCAUCCGCACAAUACCGAUUUUCUGAUCGUCAAUAAGUUUAUGCAUUAUUCGGGUAUAUUCUUCGAUUUGAUCAUUAAAAGUAUGGCACAACACUUAUUAGAUACGGGACGUAUACGUAUGUUGCGGAACGAAAGAUUUCCCAAAGAAUUUCCAGCGCGUGUUGAGAGUUUGAUCAAAGUGCUGACUUCAUAUCUGAUCUCGCGCUACAAAGAUCUGCCUGUCGAGACGCAACAGUUGAAUCGUUCGUUGUCGCAAUUCGUGCGUCGCUGCCUCAGCUACAUGGAUCGUGGUUUCGUCUUCAAGUUAAUCAAAUAUUAUAUGGAACAAUUUGAGCCGGGCGAUCAGCGUACGCUGCAAGAAUUUAAGUUUGACUUUCUGGCUGAGAUUUGUCAGCACGAGCAUUAUGUGCCGCUGAAUUUGCCAUUCGUGUUGAAUCCGAAGAAUCGUCCACCGGAAAUGAUGCUGCACUUUACACUUUCUGACGAGUUCUGUCGCCAACACUUUCUUGCCGGUUUGCUGUUGCAACAGCUGAAACAAAGUCUGAACGAAGCGAGCGCGGUGCGACGCCAUGCGCUGCGCAUCUUCAAAAAUCUGCUCGCCAAGCAUGAACUCGACGAUCGCUAUCAGAAUCGUGGACAACUCUCACGCAUAGCGCUAAUCUAUGUGCCAUGGUUGGGCAUUGUCAUAGAAAACACGCAUCGUAUCGACGAUAUGUCUGGCGUGGCAACGCCAAAUGGCCACGUCUACGCCGAUUCGGCUUCAUAUACGCAGCGUUUGUCAUGUUCCAGCAGUUAUGUAUUCGGCAAAGACACAGCCUUGAACUCGUCAACGUCUACGCCGCGUUCGAAAAACCGCAUGACACUGCAUAUUGAACAUCCAAGUCCACUGCGCGCUUCAGUGUAUGUGAGAGAUACGGCGCACCCAGGCACAGCGCCGCUCGCAAAUGGUAACUCGGAGAGUUCGCUAAAUACUCUAAAUUCCGAUUCGCAAAAUUCACAAGACACACCCACUUUAGGCGCCGUCACAAAUGGUCAUCAUGUUACCGACUUGACCGACGUUGCCAUGCGCAACGGUCACAAUCGCUCGCUUAAUCUUAUGCACGGUUUGAAUAGUCUACCGCGUUGCGAUAAAUUCAAUACGGCGGAGAGUAAAGAUCUCUUGCUUGGUUUUCUGUUUGUGGUCAAGCAUUUGGCGCAAGAUCAAAUGAUCGGUUGGUGGCAGAAUUGUACCGAAACCGAAACGCUGGCUUAUCUCAGCAUAUUGGAUUUAUGUCUGGUGCAAUUCCGUUACGUGGGCAAAAAGCAUAUCAAUUUAACGGACGAUGGUAAGGAAGCGCGUGCGGCGCGCACCGCAAAGGCCAGUACAUUACCUGCGCGCAUGCAGCCACCUAGCGCGGAGCAAGCCGCCAACGGUAAUGGUACAGCUCAUGAAUCAGGUACACUUAAUCAUACGCAGAAUCGUGAAAAUCUUGUUGAAGAGACUGCGCGCAGUCAACAGGCGCUUUACGAGUCUAAUUUGGCCACUGAAAUCGGUAUGAUCAUACUCGAUAGUCUCGGCUUGUAUGCCGUACACUUUCGUGACAAAUUGUGUGAUAGUCUAGUGUUGCCACAGCUGGCGCGCGUCUAUCUGCGUUUCCUGCAGCUGGGUCAGUCGGAAAGAUUGUCGAAACAUGUGUUUGCCGCACUGCGCGCAUUCAUUAACAAUUUCUCAAUAGCGCUUUUCAAAGGCAAUGCCACGCUAUGCGGUCAAAUGGUCUAUGAGCUUUUGAAGGGUUGCGACAGUCGUCUAGUCGCAAUACGCCACGAGUCAUGCGCAGUGCUCUAUCUGCUGAUGCGCAGCAACUUUGAAUAUACCGGCCGCAAAGGACUCACGCGUGUGCAUCUGCAAGUGAUCAUCUCCGUCUCACAGAUGAUAGGCAAUGUGAUCGGUUUGAAUAACGCGCGCUUUCAAGAAAGUCUCUCCAUGAUUAACAGUUACGCGAAUAGCGAUAAAGCAAUGAAGGGCACCGGUUUCCCAAUGGAGGUUAAAGAUCUAACGCGUCGCGUGCGCACCGUACUUAUGGCCACCGCACAAAUGCAGGCCCAUCAUAUGGAUCCCGAACGCUUACUCGAGCUACAGUAUUCACUUGCCAACUCUUAUGCUUCCACACCCGAACUACGCCACACCUGGCUCAUUACGAUGGCGCGCAAUCACGAGCAAAAUGGUAACAUAUCGGAGGCGGCUUGCUGCCACCUGCACAUCGCUGCGCUCAUGUCAGAGUAUUUACGCUUACGCGGUGGCUGCAACAUCAACUGGGGCGCCUCGUCCUUCAAGCAGAUAUCACGUAAUAUACCGCGUGACGAGCAAGGUUUGAAAUUGGAUGCAGGCGCUCAAGAUUCGCAAUACACCGAACAGAUGCUGUUGGACCAGCUGAAGCAGUGCGCUGAUUUUCUCGAUCGUGCUGAACGCUUCGAGUGCUUGGGCGAUCUUUAUAAACUCAUAUUGCCGAUGUAUGAGCGCAAUCGUUCGUAUAUCGAGUUGGCGCAAUCGUAUGAGCAUCUCAUGCAAGCUUAUAAUAAAAUCGUUGAAGUGAAUCGUUCCGGCAAACGCAUGUUGGGUCGUUUCUAUCGUGUCGUGUUUUUCGGCAUGAUGUACUUUGAAGAUGAUCACGCGGUUGAGUUUGUUUACAAGGAACCGAAACUAACCUCACUUAGCGAGAUUUCCGAGCGACUCUCGAAACAAUACAAAGAGAAAUUCGGCGAGGAUGUGGUCAAAAUGAUAAUGGACUCAUCACCGGUGGAUCCUAAUGCGCUCGAUGCCAAAUUGGCGUACAUCCAAGUCACCCACGUCAUACCAUUCUUCAGCAAAGAAGAGCUCGAUCAGCGCCUAAACGAAUUCGAACAAAAUCACGAUGUCGACACUUUUAUGUACGAAACACCAUUCACGAAAUCCGGUGCAGCGCGUGGCAGCGUCGAGGAGCAAUGGAAGCGCAAAACAGUCAUCAAAACCACCUACUCCUUCCCCUACGUGCUGAAACGUAUACCGGUAAAGUCGCGCGAAAUCAUCGAGCUGAGUCCCAUAGAGGUGGCGAUCGAUGAAAUGCAAACGAAGGUUUCAGAACUCGAAGAGGUCAUACUGCCGCCAGCCGAUGUUAAGAAGCUGCAGUUGCGGCUGCAAGGCAGCGUCGCCGUCACCGUUAAUGCUGGUCCACUCGCCUAUGCGCAAGCAUUUUUGGAUCCCAAAAUAGUGAGCAAUUUCUCCAUUGACCGCGUAGAAGAUUUGAAGGACAUUUUCAGGGACUUCGUUAAGGUGUGCAAUACAGCGCUGCAGUUGAACGCGCGCAUGAUCAGCAACGAUCAAGCGGAAUAUCAUAAUGCGCUCGCCGAAAACUACCGCAAACUGUGUCAGGCGCUCAGCGAGCUACUCGGUGAGCCGUUUCAACCUUUGGAUGAUAGCGUCACGAGCGGGCAACGCAAUAGCAUGGCUUUGUUUAAUGCAAUCAGUGGCGCUUCGCAAAAUUCAAGUACUGCCUAAAAUUUGCUAAAUACAAAUUAAAAACAAAAACAAAAACAAACCUAAAACUACGCACACAAAUGCACACACCUUCACACACAUACACACAUACAUAUAUACACAAUACGAAUGUUGUGUAUUAGUAAAUUUUAGUUAAAAAAAAUCUAUAGCAAAGCUAACUUGACUAGAAUUUUAAGCAACUAACCUAACUAAAAUUAAUCAAAAAUCUAAAAAAACUAAAGAAAAUAAUAACUAUUAGUAAUAAAUAAAAAGCUGUGUGUGUGCUCUCUAUGCGAGUUGUGCGGCUUUAUAACACGCAUUCAGGUGUUUGGUGCACGUUAUAAACGUAUGUAUGUAUGCUACAAAAUGCUGAUUGAUCGCUUGAUUUAUGGCAACCAAGUUUAGACUUUAUCACGCCAAUGCAAUGCUUUUUCUCUGGGCUUUGGGCGCGUCGGCUAAUGGUUUUGGUUUUGCAGUGUAUUAAUUUAUAAUAAAAGCCACACAGUCACAAGUAAUGCAAUAAAAAGAAACAAACACCCAUACAAUUACACCAACACAAUUAAAAGCAACAAAAAAUGCGACUUAAUGAAUUUACAACAACAAUAACAUAAUUGACACGCAUAUGUAGAACAUAAGUAAACGGCAUAUGUAAGCAAAAAACAAUAAUUAAAGGACAAGCAAACACGAAGCGAGGAGCGAAUAAGAAUUUAGAACAAGUUAAUACAAACACAGAAACACGGCAAUAUGUGUGCUUAUGCAGUUAGAAACGAUAUUUCAAGGAGCGCUUUGGUUAUUUGGCGUAUAAAAUAUUUACGAAUAUAAAAUUAUAUUAAAGGAUAUACAUACUUGGUACACAAACAAUAACAAAAACAAUAAGCGUUGUAGUAUUGCCACAUAUUUGAUUUAUGAUUUAUUUGCUUUAAUUAUUUAUAUAUAUGUAUAUGUAUACAUUUUAUAUAUAUUUUUUUUACAUUUAAGGCUUAGCAUGCAUUUAGCCCUAACAAAAUGCUUAACCUUAAUUUUUGAGCAAAUAGUGAUCAGUUUAUUAUUUUUUUACUAAUAUUAUGAUGAUGAUUUAAACUAUGUAGUUGUAUAUUAUACAUAUAUUAAAAAUAUACAAAUUAUAAAAAAAAAUUCUUUAGAAGUAAAAAGCAUACAUAAAAAAUGAUAUUGCAUUUAAAUCACAAAACACGUAAUCGUAUUUAAUGCUAAUUUUAAGUGAAUAUAUAGCAGAUGACAACAAUUUUUUGUUACACACAUAAAUAAAUAUGUAUGCAACUAAUAAAAGUAUUUAUUUAUUUUUUCAUAACUAGCUGUUAUAAACAUAUAUUUAUUGCUUACGAAAUUGCUUUAAAAAUCAUAUGUUUAGACAUAUACUAUAUAUAUAUUUUUCUAAGAUAAAUUAUACAAAUAUGCUUAUAUAUAAAUAUAAUAUAUCUAUGUAUUUAUUAUAUGUAUGCAAAUGUUUAGAUAAGUAUGUAAGUUUCCAAUAUUAAAACUACAUUGAUAUGUAAUAAUUAUUUUUGUUUUUUCUCUUUUGUAAAUAUUAAACAUAUAUUAUAAUUUUUACUUUUUAUAUUAUUGUUUAUUUAUUAUAUUAUUUUUUAUUUAUUAAGUGUAUUGCUUUAAUUGUUUAUGUGCGUAUCAAAAACUCGAUUUUAGUUUAUAUACACUUGUAGCGUUAGAUAUUCGGAGCUUGCGCGAGGUAAAAGCGGUUUAUGGUAGCGGUCAAAAAAAAAAAAUAAUAUAUUAUUAAAUAAUAUUUAUUUUUUUUUUUAUAUUUUUAAAAUAAAUAAUAUUUAUUAAAAAAAAAUAAUAUAUUAUUAAUUUUUUUUUCAAACGGCCACACUCGGCCGCUUUCUUUGCUUGGGUUUAAUUUUUCACAAAUUUUGAAUAUUAAAUAAUAUAUUAUUUUUUUUAAUAAAUAUUAUUUAUUAAAAAAAAAAAAAUAUUAUUUAAUAAUAUUAUGAAAAUGUUAAAAAAGAAUGGCCGUUUGGAAAAAUAAUUUUAAAAAAUUUAUUUUUUUCACUAAAAAUAUGGAAUUAUUAAAAUAUUGUAAAAAAAACUAUGAAUGCAGAUUGAGGUUAAAUUGUAAGAAAAAAAAAAAAAUAAAAAAUCUGCCGAAAAAAAAAAAAUUAAAACAAUUUAAAUGUGUUAUACCAAAUUGAAAUUAGAAAUAUCGUCUCAAAAAAUAACUUCCGCACAAAAAUAAUUUCAAGCAAAAAAAAAAACGAAUUUGAGCACUGACUUUUGAAUUAGUUAUAUAUUAAAAUUCACUCUGUAAAAGUUUUAUAUAAUAUUUUUAAGAGAAAUUCAAGGAAAACAUUAUAUUUAAUAUUUUCAAAAACAAUCCAAGGCAAAAGUGCAUAAUAAGUACAUCAUCUAACUAAAUUUAUGCGCAUAACAACAAAAAGAAAAUUUCGAGAGUAAUUCAAAGAAAAUUUUUGUAUAAAUAUAAAGAAAAGAAGUUAAAAUUAUGCUUAAUAAUUUAAAUGGCACUAGCCAGCUAUAAUAUGUAAAAUUUGUUAAAAAUAUUCGCUAAAAACUCUUUGCUUUCUGUGCUCCUAUUUUACUUAUGUUAAAAAGAAUUAAAAAAAAAUCAGCAAAAAUUUUCAACUUAAAAAUUGAAAUACCAGAUAUACAUGCAUAUAUAAUAUGUACAUUAAAAAACUCUAUAUUUUUUCGUUUUCGGCCGCUUUCUUUGCUUGGGUUUAAUUUUUCACAAAUUUUGAAUAUUUAAUAAUAUAUUAUUUUUUUUAAUAAAUAUUAUUUAUUUAAAAAAAAAAAAUAAAAUAAAUAUUAUUUAAUAAUAUUAUGAAAAUGUUAAAAAAGGGUGGCCGUUUGGAAAAAUAAUUUUAAAAAAUUUAUUUUUUUCACUAAAAAUAUGGAAUUAUUAAAAUAUUGUAAAAAAAAACUAUGAAUGCAGAUUGAGGUUAAAUUGUAAAAAAAAAUAAAAAAUCUGCCGAAAAAAAAUAAAAAUUUAAAACAAUUUAAAUAUGUUAUACCAAAAAAUUGAAAUUAGAAAUAUCGUCUCAAAAAAUAACUUCCGCACAAAAAUAAUUUCAAGCAAAAAAAAACGGAUUUGAGCACUGACUUUUGAAUUAGUUAUAUAUUAAAAUUCACUGUGUAAAAGUUGUAUAUUUUUAAGAGAAAUUCAAGGAAAACAUUAUAUUUUAUAUUUUCAAAAACAAUUCAAGGCAAAAAUGCAUAAUAAGUACAUUAUCUAACUAAAUUUAUGCGCAUAAAAAGAAAGAGAAAAUUUCGAGAGUAAUUCAGAGAAAAAUUUUGUAUAAAUAUAAAGAAAAGAAGUUAAAAUUAUGCUUAAUAAUUUAAUUAGCACUAGCCAGCUAUAAUAUGUAAAAUUUGUUAAAAAUAUUCGCUAAAAACUCUUUGCUUUCUGUGCUCCUAUUUUACUUAUGUUAAAAACAAUUUAAAAAAAUCAGCAAAAAUUUUCAACUUAAAAAUUGAAAUACCAGAUAUACAUGCAUUUAUAAUAUGUACAUUAACAACUCUAUAUUUUUUCGUUUGGUAUUCUAAAAAAAAUAUUUUUUAAAUUCAAAUAUCAGAUAUAACCUUAUUUUUACGGUGCCAAAGUCAUAACCAACAUUAAUGUUGAUUUCCAUAAGAAUUAGUCACGAAAUUCAGACCAUGCCUCACUGCUUAGCAAUAUUCGAAUAACGCGUCUUAUAAUUUAAUUAUAU
Molecule: RNA transcript, 11799 nt
Organism: Bactrocera dorsalis (oriental fruit fly)
Lineage: Eukaryota; Metazoa; Arthropoda; Insecta; Diptera; Tephritidae
Gene: Ziz
Gene name: dedicator of cytokinesis protein 9
Exons: 15
Source: RefSeq, a predicted model, not a curated record